RNAcentral lists this long non-coding RNA (2050 nucleotides) under Gallus gallus (chicken). RNAcentral describes it as "lncRNA (ENSGALG00010015465.1)". Lineage: Eukaryota; Metazoa; Chordata; Aves; Galliformes; Phasianidae. The record is from RNAcentral.
AAAGAAAAAGAAAAAAGAAAAAGAAAGGAAGCUCCCCUGGGUCAUUUCCCUAGAAGACAAGUCUGAUCGAGUGGGGUUUUUGUUGUUGUUGUUGUUGUUGUUUCUCUGCACGCAUCUUGGCGCGGUUUGAUGCAUUUAUUUGUUUCUGACUUUGGACACCCUUGCUAAUCCCUCUAAGGAAUAAACUGGUCACCAAUCCUUAUGCGGGGAGAUGGUUACCAUGCCGAGGCAUUGCCUAGGCGCUGGCGCCUUAAAAAGGUAAAUUCUACCAAUUAAACCAGACAGGGCGACCGCACGGCUGCUUAAAAAUUACCGGCCUGGUGUGAGGUGCAGGCGGAUUUUGAGACGACAAACCUCCCCCUGCGCUUCGUGUGGGCGAGAAAGCGGGAUCCGACCUCGUACGGACCCGCACGGUGAGACAGAGUGCGUUCAACUUCACUGUCCUUACAGGAGCUGUUUCUUCUCCCUACGCGCAGCUGCGGGGAUGCCGCUCCUUACGGCUGGGAGCAUCCCGAAGUCUGCAAAGUCCGGCUGCGCGCCUCGAGGACCUGCUGAGCUGGGCUGGGAAUUUCCAUCCGUGCCCUCGUCCAGGCUGUGCCGACACACACACACACACACACGGCGAGCGCACUCUGAGACCAUUCAGAGCCGAUUAACAGGUUUUAACUGAUGUAGAUCUUAACCUCCGUGCUUCGAGACGCGCUCCAGGUCAGUACCUUCAGCCCUCUCCUUAUUGCGUACACUCGUGACGAUGGUCGGGAACCGAGCUGCCAUACCGAGCUGCACUGUGCAGCAGCGAAGGAGAACAUGAACUAAAGAAAUGGGCGAGGGGGAGAAAUCCACCUUGUCAGUAACAAUUACCUACGGGUACUUCGUGCUUUUCCUUCUCUGUUCUCAAAGAACUGUGGUACAGUGAACAGCAGCGCCAGCCCCAGUGCCCGGAUAGAGGCUGGGAAGGGUAAGGGACUGGAAACGAACUUUGAAGGAAUCCCAAACUUUGCAGAAUCGCAGAACAUUCUGCUUUGGAAGGCGCCCACAAGGACCAUCCAGUCCAACUUCAUGCUUCGCACAGGACCACCCAAAAACCAGACCGUAAUCACGCUGCACACAGCGUUCUCCGCCAUCCCCCCGUCUCUUCAAAGACACACUGCUCGGCUCCCACAUCCCUCUCUCCCGCACCACGGCGGAUUUUCCCCUCCCGCCCCAGACAGCGGUGCCCUCACCUGAGCCGGCUUCCCGGGGCGGCCCCGCUCCCCCCCGCCGCCCUUGUUAAAGGGGCCGCCCCGUUUCUGCCGAGUUCCCCGGUGUCUCAGCAGUGGAGCCCGACGCCAACGGCCGCGGGCUCAGCCUGUCCCGAGAAACCCUUAGUGCACAAUACACGCAGCAUUUCAGAUGAAACCCGCCCGAAGGUGAGCCAGCCCCUCUGCUGCACCGAAGCUCUGUCUCCGGCCUCCCCAAACCUCUGAAAACAGGUGUUGUUGGGCCCCAAAGGAGGGAUGGGGCUCAGGAAGCCCCACAUCGGUACCCCUGUGCCUCACAGCCACCGGGAUGCCGACAGCUUUGCUGCGAGGGAAGUACUCUCCAAGGAUCUAAAUAGGAGCUUUGCUUGCUCUGGUCUCGUAUGUAUUUGUGGUUACGGUUCUGGUUAAGUUUGUACCUGUGAGUAUGAUAUGCUAAGCACCGUUUCUUAAUGUUUUCUGGGUUAUCUGGGCAAGCCUGUUGCUACUCCCUCUGCCUUGCCCACAUGGUGUUUAGGUGCCUGAUGGCAACUGCGGUGCAAACUGAGCCUGUGCCUGUUUUCCUGAGGAGUGAUGAAGUGAUGCCUCUCAGAAAGACACUGUGGGAUAAAUCAUUUAUAUGGGAAAGUGGCACAGGGAAGUAGCACCAGGCUUGAAAACCCAAAUCCAGCUUUAUCCUAUUUCAGACAAGGCUCAGUAUGUUGCUGAGGGGUGAGGGUGGUUAGCAAGGCUUGGCUCGUGAUGGUUUUCAUCCAUUUAGGUUUUGCCUUGUUGAAAUGUUUCAUCUAAACCCUGAAGUCUGACUAUUCUUC